This 1306-nucleotide long non-coding RNA is filed under the name Castor canadensis (American beaver). Its description in RNAcentral is "lncRNA (ENSCCNG00000003675.1)". Lineage: Eukaryota; Metazoa; Chordata; Mammalia; Rodentia; Castoridae. The record is from RNAcentral.
AGAGGAGAUGGAGAGGCAGGUACCCAUGGGUAGAUCGUGGGCAGGCAAGAAGCAGAGGCACCUGAGGGUCAGGAAGAGUGUGGAUCGUGGACAGAAAAGUGGGAGGAGCAUAGUGGGGACAGGGCUUCAGAAGGGCUGUCGAGGGAACAGGUUGAGGGACAAAGUGAUUGGACGAAGAGGAACCAAGGACUGUCCUAGAGUCAGGCUCCUGGAGCCCAGAGGAGGUCGGGGUGUGUCGGCCAGGAAGGAGCUCUGAACACAGCCUGACUGGUGAUGGAUAUGGGAUGUUCCCUGCUGAGUGAAUAGGGUGCAAGCAUGUGCUCACUCCAGCUAAGCAACAUGCAAGCACAAAAUGGCUGACAGUGGCUCUCCUUACAUCCCUGACUCAGUCGUACCCGUUCCUCACAUGGGAUUUGUCCAGGUCAGAGGUUCACAGUCUCCCUCGACUGGCUAAAAGGCUUGGGGGAUGGGUUAGGGCAUGCAGUUUGGCAGGCAAUGGAGUUGUACAGGAAUCCAGAAGAAGAGGCAAGGACCCUUUAAACAUGCAAUCACCUGAGAUGGCAACCUGAGGAAUUUUUAAGUAGUCUAAGAGGGUAACAAAUACUUUGAUAGAAAAGAUCGUUUUCUUAUAGCUAAGAGCCUGCGAAGGAGGGGUGGCCACAGGGUGGGGAAGCCCCAUGGGGAGCAGGCAGCCAGCCAGGUCAGGUUGGGUAGUCCACAUUUCCACAUGGGAGAUUUGGGCAAGGCCCUGUCCUACUCAGAGCCUCGUCCCACACCUGUCAAUUUCCUUCCUGUCUCCCUCCCAGGGAACAGAUGGGAAUCCCUUUGGAGUGCUCUAGAAUGACAAGGGGUCCCUGUUCUCUCAUUCCCUGUUCUCAGGGCCCUUUAAGAACAGUUCUCAGGAAUUGCAGAUGAAACCAGUCAGAGAUGUGAGCAGGACUCUAGGCAGAGUUUUGGGGAGGUGUGACCAUUGGUUAACCCAGUCUGAUCCGCAGAGAACGAGACUGGUAGUGUUGCAGGAGGGCUCAGACAGAGACUGAGAGAGCACCAAAACUUUUGGGAAGCAAGUUUAUUAAGCAGGCCAGCGGUGACUCAGUGGACUCGAGUCCAAAGGCUGAGCCCCGAGAACAAAGGGGGCUUUCCUUAUAUGCCAUUUAGAACAGGUUCCAGAAAUGGUGUGUGUGUGAGGUACAGCAUUCCAGAAAUGGUGUGUGUGUGGGGUACAGCUUGUCCAUACAUGAUCACAUGUUAUUUCAUUGGCUGUUUCAACCUCUGGGGCAAGGUGACUCUCCUCUGGUCUCCAGGU